This 253-nucleotide ribosomal RNA is filed under the name uncultured bacterium. Its description in RNAcentral is "partial 16S ribosomal RNA". It matches the Rfam family "Bacterial small subunit ribosomal RNA", at positions 524 to 776 of the family's 1533-position model. The record is from RNAcentral.
GACGGGGGAUGCAAGCGUUAACCGGAAUCACUGGGCGUAAAGCGUCUGUAGGUGGUGAUGCAAGUCACUGGUGCAAAACUCUGGCUCAACCGGAGGCAAGCCAGUGAAACUGCAUGACUAGAGUGAGGGAGAGGUAGAAGGAAUUCCCUGAGUAGCGGUGAAAUGCGUAGAUACUGGGAAGAACACCGGAGGCGAACGCGUUCUACUGGAACACAACUGACACUGAGAGACGAAAGCCAGGGGAGCGAAUGGC